RNAcentral lists this ribosomal RNA (397 nucleotides) under uncultured bacterium. RNAcentral describes it as "partial 16S ribosomal RNA". It matches the Rfam family "Bacterial small subunit ribosomal RNA", at positions 523 to 918 of the family's 1533-position model. The record is from RNAcentral.
AUACGUAGGGGGCGAGCGUUGUCCGGAAUGAUUGGGCGUAAAGGGCGCGUAGGCGGCCGCUUAAGUCUGGAGUGAAAGUCCUGUUUUCAAGAUGGGAAUUGCUUUGGAUACUGGGGGGCUUGAGUGCAGGAGAGGUUAUCGGAAUUCCCGGUGUAGCGGUGAAAUGCGUAGAGAUCGGGAGGAACACCAGUGGCGAAGGCGGGUAACUGGACUGCAACUGACGCUGAGGCGCGAAAGUGUGGGGAGCAAACAGGAUUAGAUACCCUGGUAGUCCACACUGUAAACGAUGAAUGCUAGGUGUAAGAGGUAUCGACCCCUUUUGUGCCGGAGUCAACACAAUAAGCAUUCCGCCUGGGGAGUACGGCCGCAAGGUUGAAACUCAAAUGAAUUGGCGGGG